This 253-nucleotide ribosomal RNA is filed under the name uncultured bacterium. Its description in RNAcentral is "partial 16S ribosomal RNA". It matches the Rfam family "Bacterial small subunit ribosomal RNA", at positions 524 to 776 of the family's 1533-position model. The record is from RNAcentral.
UACGUAGGGAGCGAGCGUUGUCCGGAAUUACUGGGCGUAAAGGGCGCGUAGGCGGGAUUUUAAGUCAGUUGUGAAAACUCCGGGCUCAACCUGGAGAUAGCAGUUGAAACUGAAAUUCUUGAGGACAGGAGAGGAAAGUGGAAUUCCUAGUGUAGCGGUGAAAUGCGUAGAUAUUAGGAGGAACACCAGUGGCGAAGGCGACUUUCUGGACUGUAACUGACGCUGAGGCGCGAAAGCGUGGGGAGUGAACGGG